Molecule: long non-coding RNA, 552 nt
Filed under: Phasianus colchicus (ring-necked pheasant)
Lineage: Eukaryota; Metazoa; Chordata; Aves; Galliformes; Phasianidae
Description: lncRNA (ENSPCLG00000011975.1)
Source: RNAcentral
UGUUUGUCAUGAUACCAGUUCACCUUGACUUGGUUUUGCUUUGUUGUCAUGUCACUGCAGAAGCAGCCAUCGAAGGAGGAGGCCUUUAGAGGAAAUGCUGAGAUCAGUCCCAAGCACUUGACCAAGUCACUGACCAAGGACAGUGUCAGCAGAAGAUGCCAUCAUCUGUGACACAGAAUCUCUGCAGAUAAGGGGAAGCUCAUCCUUGCAGUUUGUUCCGUUCAUAAACUCUGCAACAAAGCACAGACAGUAAUGCCCAGGAUGUGUGUUUUCAGCUCCAAUGACAAGAUGUCAGUAAUUGAAGAGAUGAUUUUAUACCCUUUAGUGAGCUGAGUGGGUGGGAAGAAGCAAUUGAUUGGGAAUUUCUUUCAGUAUUUAUGGUCCUCGUUAAGAAAUCAUACCCUUGGCUGGUGUUGUGGCUUUAUUGAUUUCAGUAGCACGUCUUUGCAUUAUGUUACUUCAGAUGGGUUAACUUGCUCCUAUUUCUGAGAUUGUAGCUAAUUAUUCAUUGUCUUGCUUGAACAAGCCAUUGCAUACAAAUUUAAGAAUUAU